Molecule: long non-coding RNA, 455 nt
Organism: Diospyros lotus (date-plum)
Lineage: Eukaryota; Viridiplantae; Streptophyta; Magnoliopsida; Ericales; Ebenaceae
Exons: 2
Source: RefSeq, a predicted model, not a curated record
CUCUCUCUCUCUCUCUCUCUCUCUCUCUCCCCCCCUCUCUCUCGCUCUGCCGCGCUGUGUACAGUGUACACAAAACGUCUCUCUCUGAAACAUCGCCAGCUGUCAUCGGCGAUCGGGGUCUUCUCCUUCACAAAGGCAACCCUUCAGUGGCAAGAUGGGCAACGGUCCGGCACUUUUUUCAGAAAUCGGCAAAUGAGCUAAAGGUUAUUGAUUUGUAAUUUCAACCUUCUUCUGCACUUUCUCUUUUCUUUAGCUAGAGAAAGUUUUAGAUUGGGCAAAUGUUGUAUUGUAGAGUGUGAAAAUAAUUUCUGUGGGCUUGAAAACUGGACAGAAGAUUUGGUUUUGCCUGCUUGAAAGGUUUUUCCUUCUGUACAAGUUACUCCUUAAUCUUUGUAAUUCCUUCCAUGUGCAAUACAUGAGAAUGUAAGCUGCAGCUCGGAGAAUACAAUUGGUCA